RNAcentral lists this ribosomal RNA (460 nucleotides) under uncultured bacterium. RNAcentral describes it as "partial 16S ribosomal RNA". It matches the Rfam family "Bacterial small subunit ribosomal RNA", at positions 338 to 795 of the family's 1533-position model. The record is from RNAcentral.
CCUACGGGAGGCAGCAGUGAGGAAUAUUGGUCAAUGGGCUUACGCCUGAACCAGCCAAGUCGCGUGAGGGAAGACUGCCCUAUGGGUUGUAAACCUCUUUUGUCAGGGAGCAACGCCGGCUAAGUGUAGCCGGACGGAGAGUACCUGAAGUAAAAGCAUCGGCAAACUACGUGCCAGCAGCCGCGGUAAUACGUAGGAUGCGAGCGGUAUCCUGAUUUAUUGGGUUUAAAGGGUGCGUAGGCGGAAUGCCAAGUCAGCGGUAAAUGCGCGGGGCUCAACCUCGCUCCGCCGUUGAUACUGGCGUUCUUGAGUGGGCGAGAAGUAUGCGGAAUGCGUGGUGUAGCGGUGAAAUGCAUAGAGAUCACGCAGAACUCCGAUUGCGAAGGCAGCAUACCGGCGCCCAACUGACGCUGAAGCACGAAAGCGUGGGUAUCGAACAGGAUUAGAUACCCGAGUAGUC